This 253-nucleotide ribosomal RNA is filed under the name uncultured bacterium. RNAcentral's name for it is "partial 16S ribosomal RNA". It matches the Rfam family "Bacterial small subunit ribosomal RNA", at positions 524 to 776 of the family's 1533-position model. The record is from RNAcentral.
UACGUAGGGGGCAAGCGUUGUCCGGAUUUAUUGGGCGUAAAGAGCGUGUAGGCGGUCAGGUAGGUCCGUUGUGAAAACUCGAGGCUCAACCUCGAGACGCCGAUGGAAACCAUCUGACUAGAGUCCGGAAGAGGAGAGUGGAAUUCCUGGUGUAGCGGUGAAAUGCGCAGAUAUCAGGAAGAACACCAAUGGCGAAGGCAGCUCGCAGGGACGGUACUGACGCUGAGACGCGAAAGCGUGGGGAGCAAACAGG